UAAAAGAUAAGCUAAAAUAAAGCUAAUGGGUUCAUACCUCAUUUAUGGGUUUAUCCCUCUUUUUA
This 65-nucleotide transfer RNA is filed under the name Planopleura kaempferi. Its description in RNAcentral is "tRNA-Met". Lineage: Eukaryota; Metazoa; Arthropoda; Insecta; Hemiptera; Cicadidae. The record is from RNAcentral.